Molecule: transfer RNA, 26 nt
Filed under: Thymallus brevirostris (Mongolian grayling)
Lineage: Eukaryota; Metazoa; Chordata; Actinopteri; Salmoniformes; Salmonidae
Description: partial tRNA-Pro
Source: RNAcentral
CAGAGGGUAGUUUAACUUAGAAUCUA